UACUAGAAAUACAAAAACUAGCUGGGUGUGU
Molecule: non-coding RNA, 31 nt
Filed under: Homo sapiens (human)
Lineage: Eukaryota; Metazoa; Chordata; Mammalia; Primates; Hominidae
Source: RNAcentral